This 365-nucleotide long non-coding RNA is filed under the name Mytilus galloprovincialis (Mediterranean mussel). Lineage: Eukaryota; Metazoa; Mollusca; Bivalvia; Mytilida; Mytilidae. The record is from RNAcentral.
UUAUAAAGGCUUGUAUGGAGACUUCGUCAAAACCACAAAAUUGAAUGUCCACAAACACGUAAGUUUUCCUUCAUCAAUGAAAAUUGGUACCAAUAAAAAUAGAUGAAUCCACAGUAUCUUGAAUCUAUCAGAAGAGUUGAUAAUUUAUACAUUAGAAACUUACAUAAAUAAAGAUGAUAGAUGUGUACCUUGUUUGUUGACAUCUUUGUAUUUCACCUAGGUCAUUCAACAUUUAAGGAGGCUCGAGGGUAUAAAAAUUUCAGAAAAAAAUUAAACAUUCGUUUUUCAUUACAAAUUUUAUUUAUUACCUUUUGUAGUUGUUACUUUAUCAUAUGAUACAAAAAACAUUCAAAACAAUAAAUUCG